AGAGUUUGAUCCUGGCUCAGGAUGAACGCUAGCGGCAGGCUUAACACAUGCAAGUCGAGGGGCAGCGGGGAGGAAGCUUGCUUUCUCCGCCGGCGACCGGCGCACGGGUGAGUAACACGUAUGCAACCUGCCCCUGUCAGGGGGACAACCCGCCGAAAGGCGGGCUAAACCCGCGUACAUGCCACCGGGGCAUCCCGGAGGCAGGAAAGGCUUCGGCCGGACAGGGAUGGGCAUGCGGCGCAUUAGGCAGUAGGCGGGGUAACGGCCCACCUAACCGACGAUGCGUAGGGGUUCUGAGAGGAAGGUCCCCCACACUGGUACUGAGACACGGACCAGACUCCUACGGGAGGCAGCAGUGAGGAAUAUUGGUCAAUGGUCGGGAGACUGAACCAGCCAAGCCGCGUGAGGGAGGAAGGUACAGAGUAUCGUAAACCUCUUUUGUCAGGGAACAAAGGCGGGGACGUGUCCCCGGAUGAGUGUACCUGAAGAAAAAGCAUCGGCUAACUCCGUGCCAGCAGCCGCGGUAAUACGGAGGAUGCGAGCGUUAUCCGGAUUUAUUGGGUUUAAAGGGUGCGCAGGCGGUCUGUUAAGUCAGCGGUCAAAGCCCGGGGCUCAACCCCGGCCCGCCGUUGAAACUGGCAGUCUCGAGUUGGAGAGAAGUAUGCGGAAUGCGCGGUGUAGCGGUGAAAUGCAUAGAUAUCGCGCAGAACUCCGAUUGCGAAGGCAGCAUGCCGGCUCCACACUGACGCUGAGGCACGAAAGCGUGGGUAUCGAACAGGAUUAGAUACCCUGGUAGUCCACGCAGUAAACGAUGAAUGCUGGCUGUCCGGGGGGACUGACCCCUGGGUGGCGAAGCGAAAGCGAUAGGCAUUCCACCUGGGGAGUACGCCGGCAACGGUGAAACUCAAAGGAAUUGACGGGGGCCCGCACAAGCGGAGGAACAUGUGGUUUAAUUCGAUGAUACGCGAGGAACCUUACCCGGGCUCAAACGGGGAGUGGCGCAGGCAGAGACGCCUGUUUCCCACGGGACACUCCCCGAGGUGCUGCAUGGUUGUCGUCAGCUCGUGCCGUGAGGUGUCGGCUUAAGUGCCAUAACGAGCGCAACCCCCGCGUGCAGUUGCUAACAGUCAACGCUGAGGACUCUGCACGGACUGCCGGCGCAAGCCGCGAGGAAGGCGGGGAUGACGUCAAAUCAGCACGGCCCUUACGUCCGGGGCGACACACGUGUUACAAUGGGUGGUACAGCGGGAAGCCAGGCGGCGACGCCGAGCGGAACCCGAAAUCCACUCUCAGUUCGGAUCGGAGUCUGCAACCCGACUCCGUGAAGCUGGAUUCGCUAGUAAUCGCGCAUCAGCCAUGGCGCGGUGAAUACGUAAGCGGGCCUUGCACACACCGCCCGUCAAG
This 1404-nucleotide ribosomal RNA is filed under the name uncultured bacterium. Its description in RNAcentral is "bacterial SSU rRNA". It matches the Rfam family "Bacterial small subunit ribosomal RNA". The record is from RNAcentral.